This 548-nucleotide long non-coding RNA is filed under the name Eutrema salsugineum. RNAcentral describes it as "long non-coding RNA (ESAL_LNC002144)". Lineage: Eukaryota; Viridiplantae; Streptophyta; Magnoliopsida; Brassicales; Brassicaceae. The record is from RNAcentral.
UAUAAAGUUGAAAAGUAAGCUCGGAAUACAAUUAAAAAGGGAACACUUGCUCAGCACCAUUAAAGACCCUGAAGAAAAUUGUAGCAUCACAGAUUGCGAAAUAUUGAGGAAUAGUGUAUGAGAAAUUCAAUUAAACUACUGUGUGAUCAGUGAUGAUUGAUGAAGGCCCCAACCAAUUCUAAUUAAUGCUAAUCUUUGUUUGCGCCUAUAAAUAAAAUUAGCAGAGUAAGGUGAGUAACACUGAACAAAGAACAACAUUUGAAAAAUAUAAGAAAUAAAAAAAAUGGGGAAAGUAUCUAAACGAUUAGUGUUCUUGGGUUUUGAUGCUUGUAGUGCUCAUUAUUGGAGUUGCGGAAUGUAGGAGACUUGAGAAGGAGACUUUGGGAGGCGGUGGUUUUGGAGGAGGUGGCGGAUUUGGUGGUGGAAAGGCGGUGGUGGUUGUGUUGGAGGAAGAGCUGGUGGCGGUGCCUGGUGAAGUGUUUGGUGGUGGUGCAGGCGGAGGUCAUGGCGAUGGUGUUGGUGGAGGAUCUGGUGGUGGAGCUGGUGGA